GAAUAUUGGACAAUGGGGGGAACCCUGCUCCAGCCAUGCCUCGUGUGUGAAGAAGGCCUCUUGGUUGUAAAGCACUUUAAGCGAGGAGGAGGCUACUCUAGUUAAUACCUUGCGAUCGUGGACGUUACUCGCAGAAUCAGCACCGGCUAACGCUGUGCCAGCCGCCGCGGUAAUACAGAGGGUGCAAGCGUUAAUCGGAUUUACUGGGCGUAAAGCGCGCGUAGGUGGCCAAUUAAGUCAAAUGUGAAAUCCCCGAGCUUAACUUGGGAAUUGCAUUCGAUACUGGUUGGCUAGAGUAUGGGAGAGGAUGGUAGAAUUCCAGGUGUAGCGGUGAAAUGCGUAGAGAUCAGGAGGAAUACCGAUGGCGAAGGCAGCCAUCUGGCCUAAUACUGACACUGAGGUGCGAAAGCAUGGGGAGCAAACA
RNAcentral lists this ribosomal RNA (424 nucleotides) under uncultured bacterium. RNAcentral's name for it is "bacterial SSU rRNA". It matches the Rfam family "Bacterial small subunit ribosomal RNA", at positions 359 to 774 of the family's 1533-position model. The record is from RNAcentral.